CCUACGGGUGGCAGCAGUGAGGAAUAUUGGUCAAUGGACGAGAGUCUGAACCAGCCAAGUAGCGUGAAGGAUGACUGCCCUAUGGGUUGUAAACUUCUUUUAUAUGGGAAUAAAACGUUCCACGUGUGGGAUUUUGUAUGUACCAUAUGAAUAAGGAUCGGCUAACUCCGUGCCAGCAGCCGCGGUAAUACGGAGGAUCCGAGCGUUAUCCGGCUUUAUUGGGUUUAAAGGGAGCGUAGGUGGAUUGUUAAGUCAGUUGUGAAAGUUUGCGGCUCAACCGUAAAAUUGCAGUUGAAACUGGCAGUCUUGAGUACAGUAGAGGUGGGCGGAAUUCGUGGUGUAGCGGUGAAAUGCUUAGAUAUCACGAAGAACUCCGAUUGCGAAGGCAGUUCACUGGACUGCAACUGACACUGAGGCUCGAAAGUGUGGGUAUCAAACAGGGUUAGAUACCCCAGUAGUC
Molecule: ribosomal RNA, 460 nt
Filed under: uncultured bacterium
Lineage: Bacteria
Description: partial 16S ribosomal RNA
Rfam family: Bacterial small subunit ribosomal RNA
Source: RNAcentral